UCCGACUUUCAAGCGAGCGUAG
This 22-nucleotide microRNA is filed under the name Pristionchus pacificus. RNAcentral describes it as "ppc-miR-63h". Its record names the gene ppc-miR-63h. Lineage: Eukaryota; Metazoa; Nematoda; Chromadorea; Rhabditida; Neodiplogasteridae. The record is from miRBase by way of RNAcentral.